RNAcentral lists this ribosomal RNA (505 nucleotides) under uncultured bacterium. RNAcentral describes it as "partial 16S ribosomal RNA". It matches the Rfam family "Bacterial small subunit ribosomal RNA", at positions 28 to 507 of the family's 1533-position model. The record is from RNAcentral.
GACGAACGCUGGCGGCGUGCCUAAUACAUGCAAGUAGAACGCACAGUUUAUACCGUAGCUUGCUACACCAUAGACUGUGAGUUGCGAAUGGGUGAGUAACGCGUAGGUAACCUGCCUGGUAGCGGGGGAUAACUAUUGGAAACGAUAGCUAAUACCGCAUAAUAUUAAUUAUUGCAUGAUAAUUAAUUGAAAGGUGCAAUUGCACCACUACCAGAUGGACUUGCGUUGUAUUAGCUAGUAGGUGAGGUAACGGCUCACCUAGGCGACGAUAAAUAGCCGACCUGAGAGGGUGAUCGGCCACACUGGGACUGAGACACGGCCCAGACUCCUACGGGAGGCAGCAGUAGGGAAUCUUCGGCAAUGGACGAAAGUCUGACCGAGCAACGCCGCGUGAGUGAAGAAGGUUUUCGGAUCGUAAAGCUCUGUUGUAAGAGAAGAACGGGUGUGAGAGUGGAAAGUUCACACUGUGACGGUAUCUUACCAGAAAGGGACGGCUAACUACGUG